Molecule: ribosomal RNA, 387 nt
Filed under: Triticum aestivum (bread wheat)
Lineage: Eukaryota; Viridiplantae; Streptophyta; Magnoliopsida; Poales; Poaceae
Description: partial small subunit ribosomal RNA
Source: RNAcentral
AUGCUCAAUAGGUUAACUAUAUCUAGAGGAGGAAGAAUGGAGAUCCAUUUUGAGGCAGGUUCAAAAAGGCCACGUGAUGCUACAGAGUCAGCCAAGUUAGUAUCAAAGGCAGCGGUUGCCAUUAGGUGUCAUGUACGUAUCCUCCCAACAUGGAUUCAGUACAGGAAUGACAAAGAUGAAACCCAGUUCAACACCUUCCUCGACCAUUUAUCUAUGAGGUUCAAGUUGGAUAGCCAAGAUGAUGCAACCAGACAAGCUUGCACCCAUGUUUUCAAGUCUGCUCUGCGACAGUAUCGGUAUAACUUGAGGAAAACUCGCUUUGAAGGCAAGGCCAACAGUGAACUUUCCCAAACAUCUCCAGUGAAAAAUAUAUCGGAUGAAGACUAG